RNAcentral lists this long non-coding RNA (311 nucleotides) under Lotus japonicus. Its description in RNAcentral is "long non-coding RNA (LJAP_LNC000922)". The record is from RNAcentral. Lineage: Eukaryota; Viridiplantae; Streptophyta; Magnoliopsida; Fabales; Fabaceae.
GCCCUGUUACUUUAGGGAUGAGUUUUCUUUAACCGCCUUGAAGACGCUCAGCCCCUUUCUUGGCCGCUCAACUCUUUUCUAACAGGAUAAAAGGGGCUCAGCUGGUUUCUAAAGGGCUCAACAGUUUUUUCCCAAACCUUCCAAAACUCUUUAUCUUCUCACCAAAUCUUAAUUUCUUCACUAGAUUCAUGUCCCUACAACAACAAUUGAGAUUGGAUCUCCAUUUAAACUCAUUCUAAUCAAAAGAUAGUCGAUUUGCAAGAUAAUUCUCAUGAAUACAAAAGAUAAGUGUCACAAUAACAAUUGAAAAC